This is a long non-coding RNA of Mesocricetus auratus (golden hamster), 1586 nucleotides long. RefSeq lists it as uncharacterized. Lineage: Eukaryota; Metazoa; Chordata; Mammalia; Rodentia; Cricetidae. The transcript is spliced from 4 exons. The record is from RefSeq and is a predicted model, not a curated record.
UAGAACAGAAACUCCAUCUAAAAAGGUCUAAGUCAUGAACCACAGUAUGCAUUUGGGUUUGAUUCUAGGAGCUGUGGAAUUCAUCAGGGAUUUUUAUCAGGAAGUUUGACUUGCUUCAAGACAAGAGUGGAUACUUACAGAAGGCUCUGAAGGACUAGUGUGAAUAUUUUCUGAGGGAGGAAUCAGAAUCAGAUGCCAACUUCAAGGAAGAUUCAAGAGAUACAGCCCAAGGGAACCUGCCUGCAUGUGGGAUACCAGAAAACUACAGGAAAACUAAGCAAAUGACGAAACCCAGAAAUUUCUGUGAUCUGCUACUGGCUUAUUAUGACUACCAGCAAACCAGUGAUUAUGUCUAACCAUGGCUGGCUUCUGAGAUGGUCUGUUGCUGAGAAUGAACUUGAAUUCCCGACCUCCCUAAGGUUGGGAUUUUAGGUCUGACUCAUCACACCCAUUAAGUAUGGUGUUGGGGAUGGGACCCAGAGCUUCGUGCCUCCAGGUUUUUAGGAAAGACUACAGAUGAGCAUGGAGGAUUUGGAAACUACCUUCAUAAAAUCACGCAGGGUUCCAAGUUUUCCACACUUUUGGGACAUGCUCUUUGGACUACUGACAUAGGUGAAUUUGGGAACCAGCAGAAACGCAGAACUGGAGGCCCAGCCCAGACCUACGGAAGCAGAAUCUGCAAUAAGCGAAAUCCAAGAGUUGGAAGAAGCACGGGCCAGCUCUUCUCUUCCCUGGUGGUGACUGAGCACCCCUUCGAAUAUCCAGGGGUCACCUGGCAGUUUCCAGCAGCCAGUGGGGCUGACUUCAGGGGCCUUUUUGGCUCUGCACACCAUUCCAAGGCUGCCUAUGACAAGCCAGAUGGCCCCAUGGGAUCCCUGGGGAAGUGGUGGCCGAUCCGAUGUCACCUCCCUGGUACUAGAGAUCAGAUUUGGGUGAGAGAUCCUGUUCCUCUGAGUGUCACUGCAGCCUGGGAUUUUGAAUCAGUGGAUGUUAAGAUUGGGCGGACCCAUCUGUGUCACAGAUAGGCUACCUCCUGUCACCUUGUGAGCAUUGCAACCUUGUCCUUAGGAGCACCAGAAGCGGAAUACCGCCCCACUCCCCACCCCCACCAAACUUAAAGCCUAUUCAAGUAGAGGGUCAAAAGCUGCUAUUUCUAGCAAAAAGAAAAUGGCUGACUAUAUUCUUGAAAUGAUUUUUCUGUGUUUCUGUUGCAUUGGCAAUCAUGCCAGCCCAGCUCGGCCUAGUCCUCUGCCUACCCUCUUGGCCUUGCGUUCAUGCUUCCUGUGUGUGGGAUUCCAGAUCAGUAAACAAGGGUGCCUGGAGCCAAAGCCUCCCUCUUGGGUGUAAACACAUGAGUUGUAGUGAAGUUUGGGAGCCCAGGAACAAUCUGUGGGAGGAAGUGUUUCUCUGACAUCAUCCUCACUUUGUCCGUACACCAAGAACAGUCAUCCCACGUACAGCAAGGACAAUUCGGAGCUCAAACCCUGCCUCUGUGUCCACACUCCUCUGCACGUCCGUGUGUCUGUCUUUAAAAUGGCGUCUUCUCAAAUGGCUUUGAGACAAUUAAAUGACACUUAGCACAUAAA